This 222-nucleotide ribosomal RNA is filed under the name uncultured bacterium. RNAcentral describes it as "partial 16S ribosomal RNA". It matches the Rfam family "Bacterial small subunit ribosomal RNA", at positions 111 to 334 of the family's 1533-position model. The record is from RNAcentral.
UAAUGCAUCGGAACGUGCCCCGUAGCGGGGGAUAACCCGGCGAAAGCCGGACUAAUACCGCAUAUGCUCUACGGAGGAAAGCAGGGGACCUGAAAGGGCCUUGCACUAUGGGAGCGGCCGAUGUCCGAUUAGCUUGUUGGUGGGGUAAUGGCCUACCAAGGCGACGAUCGGUAGCUGGUCUGAGAGGAUGAUCAGCCACACUGGGACUGAGACACGGCCCAG